UAGCCAUUUGCUUGAAGGUCA
RNAcentral lists this microRNA (21 nucleotides) under Physcomitrium patens. RNAcentral's name for it is "ppt-miR1068". Lineage: Eukaryota; Viridiplantae; Streptophyta; Bryopsida; Funariales; Funariaceae. The record is from miRBase by way of RNAcentral.